Molecule: small nucleolar RNA, 137 nt
Organism: Hyaena hyaena (striped hyena)
Lineage: Eukaryota; Metazoa; Chordata; Mammalia; Carnivora; Hyaenidae
Product: small nucleolar RNA SNORA69
Exons: 1
Source: RefSeq, a predicted model, not a curated record
AAAGCAGGUUGCAAUUACAGUGCUUCGUUUUGUGGAAGUACUGACAUUAUCCUGCUGAGAGAAAGAAAACCCGUGUUGGUCAUUUUUGAUUUUGCCUCUCUUAAGGGUGAAAUCAGGACAGAUUGACAUGGACAGUC